This 206-nucleotide unclassified non-coding RNA is filed under the name plant metagenome. RNAcentral describes it as "partial contains small subunit ribosomal RNA and internal transcribed spacer 1". The record is from RNAcentral.
AAGGUCGUAACAAGGUUUUCCCGCAGGUGAACCUGCGGAAGGAUCAUUAUCGUAGGGCUUCGGCCCUGUCGAGAUUAGAACCCCUUGCCCUUUUUUGGAGUACCUUUCGUUUCCCUCGGCAGGCUCGCCUGCCAAUGGGGACCCACAAAAAGCACUUUUGCAGUACCUGUAACAGUCUGAACAAAUCAAAAGCAAAAAGUUAAAAU